AUUGAACGCUGGCGGCAUGCCUUACACAUGCAAGUCGAACGGCAGCGGACCUUCGGGUGCCGGCGAGUGGCGAACGGGUGAGUAAUAUAUCGGAACGUACCUUUCAGUGGGGGAUAACGUAGCGAAAGUUACGCUAAUACCGCAUAUUCUGUGAGCAGGAAAGCAGGGGAUCGCAAGACCUUGCGCUGAUUGAGCGGCCGAUAUCAGAUUAGCUAGUUGGUGAGGUAAAGGCUCACCAAGGCGACGAUCUGUAGCGGGUCUGAGAGGAUGAUCCGCCACACUGGAACUGAGACACGGUCCAGACUCCUACGGGAGGCAGCAGUGGGGAAUUUUGGACAAUGGGCGCAAGCCUGAUCCAGCAAUGCCGCGUGCAGGACGAAGGCCUU
This 386-nucleotide ribosomal RNA is filed under the name uncultured bacterium. RNAcentral describes it as "bacterial SSU rRNA". It matches the Rfam family "Bacterial small subunit ribosomal RNA", at positions 30 to 418 of the family's 1533-position model. The record is from RNAcentral.